GCGCGAAAACUUUACAAUGCUGGCAACAGCGAUAAGGGAACCUCGAGUGCCAGGUUACAAAUCUGGCUGUCGAGAUGCCUAAAAAGCAUUUCAUAGCAAGGGCCGGGCAAGACCGGUGCCAGCCGCCGCGGUAACACCGGCGGCUCGAGUGGUAACCGUUAUUAUUGGGUCUAAAGGGUCUGUAGCCGGCCGGAUAAGUCUCUUGAGAAAUCUGGCAGCUUAACUGUCAGGCUUUCAGGAGAUACUGUCUGGCUCGAGGCCGGGAGAGGUGAGAGGUACUUCAGGGGUAGGGGUGAAAUCUUGUAAUCCUUGAAGGACCACCAGUGGCGAAGGCGUCUCACCAGAACGGACCUGACGGCAAGGGACGAAGGCUAGGGGCACGAACCG
RNAcentral lists this ribosomal RNA (387 nucleotides) under uncultured bacterium. RNAcentral's name for it is "bacterial SSU rRNA". It matches the Rfam family "Archaeal small subunit ribosomal RNA", at positions 339 to 726 of the family's 1478-position model. The record is from RNAcentral.